This 253-nucleotide ribosomal RNA is filed under the name uncultured bacterium. RNAcentral's name for it is "partial 16S ribosomal RNA". It matches the Rfam family "Bacterial small subunit ribosomal RNA", at positions 524 to 776 of the family's 1533-position model. The record is from RNAcentral.
UACAGAGGGGGCAAGCGUUGUUCGGAAUUACUGGGCGUAAAGGGCGCGUAGGCGGCCUUCUAAGUCGAACGUGAAAUCCCCGGGCUCAACCCGGGAACUGCGUUCGAUACUGGAAGGCUUGAAUCCGGGAGAGGGAUGCGGAAUUCCAGGUGUAGCGGUGAAAUGCGUAGAUAUCUGGAGGAACACCGGUGGCGAAGGCGGCAUCCUGGACCGGCAUUGACGCUGAGGCGCGAAAGCCAGGGGAGCAAACGGG